RNAcentral lists this ribosomal RNA (399 nucleotides) under uncultured bacterium. RNAcentral's name for it is "partial 16S ribosomal RNA". It matches the Rfam family "Bacterial small subunit ribosomal RNA", at positions 338 to 755 of the family's 1533-position model. The record is from RNAcentral.
CCUACGGUGGGCAGCAGUGGGGAAUAUUGCACAAUGGGCGAAAGCCUGAUGCAGCAACGCCGCGUGAGCGAUGAAGGCCUUCGGGUCGUAAAGCUCUGUCCUCAAGGAAGAGAAGGACGGGACGGGAGGAGGAAGCCCCGGCUAACUACGGGCCAGCAGCCGCGGUAAGACGUCGGGGGCGAGCGUUAUCCGGAAUGACGGGGCGUAAAGGGGGCGGAGGGGGUUUCGUAAGGCAGAGGGGAAAGGCUAGGGCUCAACCGUAGGAAGCCGUUGAAACGGGGAAACUUGAGUGCAGGAGAGGCGAGUGGCAUUCCUCGUGUCGCGGUGCAAUGCGUCGCUCUUAGGAGGCACCCCAGUUGCGAAGGCGGCUCUCUGGACUGUAACUGCCACUGCGGCACG